This 466-nucleotide ribosomal RNA is filed under the name uncultured bacterium. RNAcentral's name for it is "partial 16S ribosomal RNA". It matches the Rfam family "Bacterial small subunit ribosomal RNA", at positions 28 to 506 of the family's 1533-position model. The record is from RNAcentral.
GACGAACGCUGGCGGCGUGCUUAACACAUGCAAGUCGAACGGAAAGGCCCUGCUUUUGUGGGUGCUCGAGUGGCGAACGGGUGAGUAACACGUGAGUAACCUGCCCUUGACUUUGGGAUAACUUCAGGAAACUGGGGCUAAUACCGGAUAGGAGCUCCUGCUGCAUGGUGGGGGUUGGAAAGUUUCGGCGGUUGGGGAUGGACUCGCGGCUUAUCAGCUUGUUGGUGGGGUAGUGGCUUACCAAGGCUUUGACGGGUAGCCGGCCUGAGAGGGUGACCGGCCACAUUGGGACUGAGAUACGGCCCAGACUCCUACGGGAGGCAGCAGUGGGGAAUAUUGCACAAUGGGCGGAAGCCUGAUGCAGCAACGCCGCGUGCGGGAUGACGGCCUUCGGGUUGUAAACCGCUUUCGCCAGUGACGAAGCGUGAGUGACGGUAAUGGGUAAAGAAGCACCGGCUAACUACGU